Molecule: ribosomal RNA, 253 nt
Filed under: uncultured bacterium
Lineage: Bacteria
Description: partial 16S ribosomal RNA
Rfam family: Bacterial small subunit ribosomal RNA
Source: RNAcentral
GACAGAGGGUGCAAACGUUGUUCGGAAUUAUUGGGCGUAAAGGGCUCGUAGGCGGUUUGUCACGUCGGGAGUGAAAACUCAGGGCUUAACCCUGAGCCUGCUUCCGAUACGGGCAGACUAGAGGUAUGCAGGGGAGAAUGGAAUUCCUGGUGUAGCGGUGAAAUGCGCAGAUAUCAGGAGGAACACCGGUGGCGAAGGCGGUUCUCUGGGCAUUACCUGACGCUGAGGAGCGAAAGUGUGGGGAGCGAACAGG